UACCUACGGGAGGCAGCAGUCGGGAAUAUUGCGCAAUGGAGGAAACUCUGACGCAGUGACGCCGCGUAUAGGAAGAAGUUUUUCGGAAUGUAAACUAUUGUCGUUAGGGAAGAGAAAGGACAGUACCUAAGGAGGAAGCUCCGGCUAACUACGUGCCAGCAGCCGCGGCAAUACGUAGGGAGCGAGCGUUAUCCGGAAUUAUUGGGUGUAAAGGGUGCGUAGACGGGAAAACAAGUUAGUUGUGAAAUCCAUCGGCUUAACUGAGGUACUGCAACUAAUAGUAUUUUUCUUGAGUGCAGGAGAGG
RNAcentral lists this ribosomal RNA (305 nucleotides) under uncultured bacterium. RNAcentral's name for it is "bacterial SSU rRNA". It matches the Rfam family "Bacterial small subunit ribosomal RNA", at positions 335 to 657 of the family's 1533-position model. The record is from RNAcentral.